CAAAGCUCCACACGUCACUCUCUGAACUGUAUCUCCCUGGAAGAGGAACAACAACCAUAACCACAUGAGGCACAGUAGACAAGCUAACCUAGCAGAAUGUGGUAGAAGUGAUGGUAUGAAGUUCUGGAGUGUAGGCCACAAGAGACCUUGCAGCUUCCAACUUUUGUCUUUCUGGAACAUUCCUGAUACCAUGUAAAGAAGCCCAGGAAGCCGAGGCAGGAGGAUCGAGCGCAGGAGUUCAAGA
RNAcentral lists this long non-coding RNA (244 nucleotides) under Homo sapiens (human). Its description in RNAcentral is "HSALNT0328775". Lineage: Eukaryota; Metazoa; Chordata; Mammalia; Primates; Hominidae. The record is from RNAcentral.